RNAcentral lists this long non-coding RNA (21104 nucleotides) under Marmota monax (woodchuck). Lineage: Eukaryota; Metazoa; Chordata; Mammalia; Rodentia; Sciuridae. The record is from RNAcentral.
CUGGGGAGCUUUUCAUUCCUGUGAUCUUGUAGAAGUCUCCUGAUGGUUCCCCAGAGUGUGUCUGGAUCCCAGUCACAGCAUGGACUGUAGCCAGACCACCUGCAGAAUCCCGCUUUGGACAUCAAUGAGCAGAGCAGCGCUGGGUGAGUAAUUUGGCUUUUCUGUGCCAUGUCUUUCUCAUUUGGGCACACAGAAUCAUAGCAGCACGUUGGAAGUCCUCUGUGGGCUAAUGAACACAAAGUGCUUAAGAGGGACUCUUGAAAACCAUUAGUUAGGUGCUAUUUCUCAAAAUUCAGGAACCAGGGAGGCCCAGAGGUACCUAUUUACUAAACCUUAGACGGCUCUGAGCAGCAGGGCUGCCAUUUGAACCCCAGAGCUGGGUUCCUUCCAAGCACUGGUUGGGGGCAGGAAAACCUUGGAGUGGAGGGAACAUCACCAUCAUCCGUCCCCUUGGCAGGAGAGUGGAUUCCCAGCCGAAGACUCAGUUAUACUUUCCAUAGAGUCUCCAGCCAUCUACAGUGUAAUGCUUCCAGCAUUGGAACUUUCUAGAAGGUGUCAGGGGACCAUGUAAUUCUGGGCCACGGAAGAUGGGCAUGCACCAAGUCAGAGAGGCUCUAGUCUGAUUCCUGCUUCCACUACAUAGCAGUGUUGAGCUUGUGUCUCGUCGUCAUUACCCUUAUAUUUUCUUCUGGAAAGGACUCAUAGAGGGUCUCCUAAGCCCAGCAUGGUCAGGGAGGCUCCUUCCAGAAUGUGGGCGCAUGAGCCCCCUCAGGUUUCCUCUUUUAGUUCAGUUCCCACUCACACACACUGACACCAAGUCAAGGUGCUGUCCCUCAACUCUGUUGGAGUCAUUGGAAGGGCUAGAAACCAGGGUUUUAGAACCUUCUGGAAGAGAGUUUUCCUUUCUUAAUGAAGCUGCAUGGUGGGGCAGGCAGUGCUGGGGUUUGGAAGGGGUUAGCUGCAGUGUCUGUGGGUUUUGGGGAAAUAGUUACGUGGGACAACCCCUCAGUGUCCUCUCUCUCCACCUGACCGUUUUCAGACCCAGGCCUGGUGCUGGGUGUGAGAGACUGUUUGCUAAUGAAUGAACGUCCAAGCCAAGCAAUGUGAAUUUAAACAAAACAGAUGCUGGCUUCAAGACACAGAUUUCCUCGGAGGCCUUUGGAACCUAACUCAGCCGACUUAGUGACUCACCUAUCUUUUAAUUUUAUUUCUUUUAUUUUUUUACGUUUUUGGGUACUGGGGAUUGAACCCAGGGGUACUCAACCACUGAGCCACAUCUCCAGCCCUUUUUUAUAUUUUAUUUAGAGACAGGGUCUCACCGAGGUGCUUAGUGCCUUGCCAAGUUGCUGAGACUGGCUUUGAACACAAGGUCCUCCUGCCUUAGCCUCCCAGUCUGCAGGGAUUACAGGCCUGAACCACCAUGUCUGGCCUUAAUUUUAUUUCUUAAAUUUGAAUGUCUUUGUCUCUCUUCCUCCCGCCCUCCUUCCCAUUUCUCCUAGAGAAGAGAGCACAUUCACCCCCACCGCCCCGCCACACAUACACACCCCUUUCUGCCCCUCUCUCCCGUCACACAUCUGACAUCUCACCAGAGAUUUGGUCACUGCUGAGCUAUCUUCAUUUAAUGUGGCUUUGACAGGAUAGUUGGUCUGGAAAUUUUAUUUUCGAUUAAACUUGCUUGUUGAACUGCCUCUGUUUUAAAAGGGUUCCAUUAAGGUGGGUCAUUAUAUAGCAGUUGUUACAGGAGGUAUUUGUGCUCAAUUUCAGCUCUUAGGUAAUUCAAAUCAAAUGCUUUCUAUUUUCCUCCCUCGAGCUGUGUGCUACCAUCUUUCUCUUACGCUGCAGGCGGUCUGUGAGUUAUUUUUAGAAACCCAAAUCAAAACAGCAAUUUUGGCAGAGGCCAUCUCUAGCCCAGCAGAGUAAUCCAUAUGUACCGAUACAAACAGCCAAAGAAGCCACAUCUUUAAAGAGCAACAACACCACCUCCCUAUUUGUGGGGUUCAAUGUUUGGGAACUGUAAGCUGUCUUUUGUGCUAUUAUAUUCCAUUCCAAGCUCUCAACUGAUGUUGAAGGUAAUGGAAAUCUCUUUAAAAUCAUGAAAGAGCUCUCCACUUGCGUACUUUGCCAACAUCUGUGUUUCAAGAUGGCAGCCUUAGGAUUUCCUGGGGACCUAGUUUUGGCUUCUGGAUCUCCAGUGAAACAUGGAGGUCACUUUCUUUAUUUUCUUAAUCUCCUCUUUUCUUUCCCCAGAAUACAUGUCCAUACCUCAUUAUGCUUGACUAGCAGGUAAACCUCUUAGAGUUAGAAUAUAAGUUUUUGGGCAGGGGCUGUACUUCUUAUCUUGUUUCAUGACCGACACUCGGAGGUGCUCAGCUGGUGAAUGAAUAGACAGAUGAAUCAUUAAAAUUUUAUUUCUAUUUCCUCUUUUUAAAAAAUUGUCAAACUUUUAUUGCAAAAAAAAAUAUUAAGUGAAUGCAUUCAUCUUGAGGGGAAAAAAAAUCUUCCCAAUUAAGGCUGAAGUUCUUUCAGCUCACCACCCCCAUUCCUUGCAUCCUCAUUACGUCUGCUUAGGUGAUAUUUGUUAUCAUUUGGGGGCACAUCUUUGCAGACCUCUCCAGAGCAUUUAAUUUUGCACACACUGAGGACUGUUGGUAGACUUGUGAUAAACAGAUUACUCUAUAGCUUACCUCUAUCACUCAGUGGUCCAUCAGAAUGUAAUCCACAUUAGCCAUCUCUUCCUUUUUAGGGGCUGCAUUGUUUGAUUACAUUAGGCAGCUACACCACCUUUGAUUUGGACCAAAUAAAGUCUUCCUUUGCUUUCCCAUUUGUUAUACUUCCACAUCUCUUCUCAUGUGUAGGUUUUGACAUAUUAGCCGUGUCCCUGUCCUUAACCUCGAGAUGUGUGCUGUGCCCUGGGGAUCACACAGCGGUGGAGAGUGAGUGAUGGAUACAGGAUCGGCUCUGCCCACGGCCAGCUGGGUGUUUCUAGGCAGCUCAUUUCCUCUCCCUGGACCUUAUGUUUCUCAUCUGCACAACAGACUUGGAGCCCCUUCAAGCUGUUAGACUCUAACUUACGCAGUGUCACCAGGAUUGAUUAAUAGAAUGCAUUGUUAGUUCUCCUUCCACUGUGUGCUGGGGUAGGAAAAGAGGCAAUUCCCAGCUCAGAGCUCUUAGCUGAUACCACAGAGAACCCCUGAUUGGCUAGGAAAGUAUUGCCUCUGGAUUUCAAUCUUCUUUACUAUUGUUUGGUCAUUCAGUUUAAAUUCAUUUUAUUUUAUUUUAAAAAUUUAUAUUAUUAUUAUUAUUAUUAUUUGAUGGGAAUUGAACCCAAGGCUUCAUACCUGCUAGGCAACCUCUUUACCACUGAGCUACAUCCCUAGCCCUUGUUUUAUUUAUUUUGCUUUGUUUGCUUUGUUUAUUCUAAGCAAGGAUGUAUAGUUAUGGGGACAGAGAGUAUGAACCCUUGAGUUCUAUUUCCAGGUUUGUCUAAUUCCAGCUGUGUCUUCUUAGAUAAGUCACUUACCUUCCCUGGGGUUUCACCUGUUAAGAUCUUGAUUCCAAAUUAGCCAGGUAUCCACCAAAAUAACAUGUAAAAGUUGAAAACCACAUCCCCACAUGCCAGGUUUCGCCUGGCAUUUCUGAGCCUCCCGUCCCCUGCAGACAGGUCAUCUCAUGCAUUGAUGAGGUGACCUAAGAGACCCCCAAACCCAUGAGAUCUUGUUUCGCAGGAGAGUUGUGCAGCUGUCCUGGCCCCUGAUGACACAUGCUGACCUCUUCAGUGGGCUCUGAGAGAGAUCCAGAGAAGGUUCUGAGCUCCUAUGAUUCACAGGUGGGGUUUUCUCCCCUGCGCCCUGGGGCUGUGUGUGUGGUGGGGCUGAGGCAAAGGGUAUUCCCCUGCUUUGUGGCUCAGGACCGCAAGGGUCACAGGAUCUGAUUCACCUGCCUUGGGUUUCCCUAAGGUUCUCGUCAGGCUUCCCAUGUAGAGCAGAGUUCUGGCCCUUGGCUUGGCGAUGUGCUUUGGUCUGGAGUUACAUGGUGCUCUGCAGAUGGAAGGUCGGGCUGAGUAGAUGUGAGAGUCGUGCUCGGCAGUCUCCAGGGCUGGCUUUCCUGGUCCCUGUGCAUUGUCGGGUGCUCCAGCCCCGAGCUUUGGCUCCUGGACAGUGCUCUGGUUGAGGCUGUCCGUGUUGAGCAGGUUCCUACAAAAAUAAGCCCAGAGUCUAAGGUGUUCUUCCGCUUGCUGAGUUCCUCUGUGUUAAGCCCUUCCAGCCUCUGCUUCCUGCCCUGCGGGGUCCUCAUUAGAUAAAAUGACCCUCUGCAAUAACCUGUUCCUUCCUUCCUUUUCUUAUAUGGGGGGGGGGAAACCCCCGUCAUUUUAUAGGCUCUGAAUCUGUAAAUGAGCAUCCGAAAGCCUACUGUGGGUGUUUUCACAUUAACCAAAAUAAAACCAAAAGGCAGCACGAGAAAUGGGUGGGGGGGAAUGUCGUUAACCAGGUAAACAUGGUCAAUUAAUAAAAAAUAAGUAAUUAAGUAAGUAAAGGGACGGCAGUAACCAUCCCAAUAUUUCCCCAUUACCGCCUUCCUUGUUUUAAUCAGUUGCCUGCAAAUGUGACUUGCAUUGUUUAAGUCCCUCCAGAGCGAGGUACAUGGUCCCCUGUUCUUGAUCCUCCUCCAACCUGUCAAUACCAUUUUCAUUCACAAAGUGGAAACUUUCAGAAAUGAGUCAACUUGCCCUGUGAAUCAUAGGUCCUUGAUGUGAAACGCUUGUUGCUGCUGGGGUGAGACGGGGAAAGUCAGAAUGAAUUCUUUGACCCAAAAAGUCAGUCUAAGUGAACUCUGGACAGGGAGGGUUUAAGGGGUGGGAUUCCUGCUGUCCUGGGGCUGCGUUGCGGAGGGAAACCCAGGGACUUAGAGUUUAAGCCCGCUGAUGCAGCCCCUUCUGUAGUUUGUGCACCUCUGCAUUGUGAGAAUCGUCACAGCUUGGGAGACCUCUGAUCCUGGGGAGACAGGACUGAAGGUUCUUAAAGACCAGAGUUUCAGUUGAUCUUAUGUGCAUCUCCAAUGAGGGCUUCCACCUAGAAGCUUCUCAGAAGUUGUGGAGGAGGAAGAGAUGGUGCUAUUGUUGCAAGUUGUCUGGCUUUGCUGCCUGUUCUCCUCUUUUCUGCCUUCAGUAUGGGAUUCAUAGACUCCACACAAAUAUCAAAAAAUAUUAUAAGAAAGCAGAUAUGUCAAAAAUAGUAUGAGAAAGUGGGAAAAAUGAAAAGUUAUUUAUAAUCUCAUUGCCCUUGGUAACAAUACCAAUUAUCACCAUCAAUGUGCUAUAACCCAUUUGUGUUAUUUUGCAGUCUUUUUUUUAACAUAAUUAUUAUCUUGGGAUUCUUUUCAAUUUUUCCAUUUAUGUUUUUCUGCCAGCAAUGCCCAUGCAAUUUCACAGCCUUUUCAACUACCAUUUUGGAAUUUCCUUUAUCCAUGUGCUGUGAGUGAUGAAAUAUCCUUCUAGAACGUUGUUAUAUCUCAAGAGAAUUUCAGAAGUGAAAUGUUUUUAAGCCAUUUAUAUGCAUAUAUGUAUAUAUAAAUACAUGCAUUCUCAUCUACACAAAUAUACUUAAUAUAUAUUUAAUAUUUAAUAAAUAGUUUUAUAUAUUUAUAUCUAAAUAUAUUUAAAUGAAUGUAGAUUUACCAAAAAUCUAGUGGAAAGUACCUUUUCCAUAUUCUAUGGCCCCUCCCCCCAUAUCUCCUGUUAUCAGCACCUUGCAUUACUGUGGGCCCUUUAUUACAAUUCAUGAGCCAAUAAUGAUACAUUAUGAGUAACUAUAGCCCAUAGUUUCCAUUAGGUCCAGUCCUAGUGUUGUGUAGUUCUGUGAGUUUCAUAAAUGCAUGGUGCUAUAAAUCCACCACUAUGGGAUCAUAUAGAGUAGUUUCAUUGCUCUAAGAUUUUCCUUUGCUGCAUCUAUUCAUCCACUCACCUCUUCACCAACUCUUGGCAGCUACUGAUCUUCCCGAGGAGUUGGGUCUAUAUACCUGGCUCUGGGCUUUUUACUGUCUCUCUAGUUUGGCCUUUUCUAAAAUGUCACAUAGUUGGAAUCAUAUAGUACGUUGCCUUUUGUGAUUGGUGUCUUUCCCUUAGUGAUGUGCAUUUAAGGUUGCUCCAGGUCUAUUCAUGGCUCAAUAGCUUGUUUUUAGAGCUAAAUAAUAUACCAUGGAUGCACCAUGGUUUAUUUGUCCAUUCACCAACUGAAGAUCAUUUUGAUUGCCUUCAAGUUUUGACAAUGUUGAAUUGUUGUGUCACUUUUUGCCUGGAUGUAAAUUUUCAGUUCAUUUGUGUAAACACCAAGGAGUACAGUUGCUAGAUCUUAAAAGAAUAUUUUUGGUUUUGUAAGAAACUGCCAGACUCUUUUCAAAAGUGGCUGUACCAUUUUGCUUUGUACCACUGUUUCCAGUGAUCUGUCCUCAGCAAUUGCACCCUUACCGUAAUUCUUCCUCCUACAUGCUCAGGCAAUCUUAAGCCAGUUAUUUUUUUUAACAUUCUGGGCAUCAGAUUUCUCACGUGCAAGUCAGUAGUAUUUCAUAUAUAUGCUCUUGUUUAAAGUGAAAGCAAAUUUUGUGUAAAUGUAGUGUAUUUCCCGGUACCAACUUACCAUUAAUUUAUAUGCACUAGGAAAGAAACAAAUGCUUCCAUAUUAAAUGAUGGUAUGUCCCUGACUGUAAGACACAUCAAUUUUGGAGAUGCUGAAAUUUGAAAAGAAAGAUGUAUAGCUUAAGAUCUUUGAUUGGAAGACUGAUGAGCACUAAUACCUACUAAAACCCAGGCACAAAACAAGCCCUCAAAAUCUGAGUUUGUACAGGGUGAACAGACAGCUUAAAGCAAAUGUUCUCUGAUAUAUGGAUGCUGAUCCAUAAUGGGGGUGGGGGAGGAAUAUGGGAGGAAUAGAGGAACUUUAGAUAGGGCAAAGGGGAGGGAGGAGAAGGGAGGGGCAGAGGGGUAGGAGAGAUGGUGAAAUUAGAUGGACAUCAUUACCCUAAGAACAUGUAUGAAGACAGGAAUUGGUGUGAAUAUACUUUAUAUACAACCAGAGAUAUGAAAAAUUUGUGCUUUAUGUGUAUAAAAUGAAUUGUAAUGCAUUCUGCUGUCAUAUAUAAAUAAAAAUAAUAAUAAUUCAAAAAAAAAAAGAAAACAGUAAAAAAAAAAAAAGAAGAAGAAGAAGAAAGAAAGACUGGGGCUCCUUGGAGUGGGAGUGGAGCCAAUGUGACAGCAUGUGACAGAGAUCUAAGUGCAGAUCUGGUGAGAGCCAAGGGGCUCAGAGCCGAGUCCAAGGCGAGUUACUGUGUCUGCUCACGGUGCAGACUGGGCAGUGAGUGACACUCCCCAUGCUGUAGCAGUGUCCUCAGCCAGUGAUCGACCUUCACCUUUAGCCCCUGCCAAGAGGCUGGGGGACUACUGGCUGGAGCCACCGAGAGUGAAGGCCCAGUGAAGCACUUGGGGAUGCUUGACCUUCUGUUGCUCUACUUUGUUUCCACUGUCCUCAGAGAAGACACUGUGCUUGAUGUCUGUUCUUUGAAAGUUACUGAGAGUAAUUCAGUGGCCCUGCAUAUGGCCUAUCACCGUGAAGGGCACAUGCACUUGAAAAGACCAUGUCUGUAGGGCCUGGGGCAGAGUGUUCCCUAAAUAUCCAUUGUGAAAAGUCCUCAGCUCAGGGUAGUUGCUGUUCAAGAAAAUCUCGUUCUUUCAUUUUUUUGCCUUGAUAUCCAAAUAAACCCAUAAGCAGGAGGAGAUUUUCAUUUUUGCACAGACGAGCAGUUUCUGAGGACGUUGUCAUCACCCUUCAGCAGGCCCAGGGGAGGAAGAGGGCCAAGGUCCCUGUGGGUGAGAAGCCACAGCCAGGCCUGGACCCCGGGAGGCUGACCCUCUGACAACCUGCCCUCCUUGGGCCAGAGAGAAAACACCUAGGGAUCUGCUCAAGGGAGGGAGAUGUGCCCUGCGUGGCAGAACUCUCUUCUUUCCCUUCUGAGUUCAGCCAGCCCUUGCCGGAGACCUCUGGCUUUGUCCGUUUAGCCGCUGCUGUUCCAGAGCACCACAGGCCAGUGGUGCGUAAUCAGGAAACAUUCAUUUCUACAGCCCCUGCAGCUGGGAAGCCCAAGUUCAAGGAUUGCUCAGUUUCUUGUGAGGGCCGACCUUCUGGCUCACAGAUGGCCACCUAAUUGGCUGUCCUUACCUGGCAGAGGAGGUAAGGGAGCUCCCUGGGUGUCUUUUAUAAGGACACUAAUCCUGUUCACAAGGGCUCCACCCUCAUGAGCUAAUCACUUCCUCAAGCCAACCCCCACCUGAUGCCACCAAAUUGAAGGUCAGGAAAUCAACGUGGGAAUUUUAGGGGGACAGAUUCAGUCCAUAACACCUGCUCUUUACUGCAGUUCCAGGCUCUGGGAUAAAAAAAGGACUGCCCUUCCCUUUCAGAAUCUGUAGGCCACGCGGACAACGCACAAUUAUGUACAGCAGGUCGGGGGUCCUAACUGGGAAAGUGUGACAUAUUAGAAGAGAAUCACUCCUUGUGUCUCCCUCUCCCUUUCUCUGUUAUACACAUCUCAGCAAACUGCAGGGUUUCCACAAGGAAGCCAAGAGUGGGAAUAACAUGGUUCUAGCCGUAAAUCUACUGGCAACUUUUAGCAAAAGGUUUUCUUGAAGGGCGAGGAGCAUGCCCGCUCCCCGAGGCCUGGUACACCAGGUCCAGAAAGCUUUCAAAAGCUUGCUUUUGUUUUGUUUUGGCAAUCUGGGGAAGCCGUGACACCUUUUUAGAAUAAUGCUUUUACAGGGCAUAUGAGAAGCAUGCUCAGGAUCCGGAAGGAACCAGCCAUGUCCGGCCCUGACCUACGGAGAGAGGAGGACCUGGAGGCCUAGGGGAUAAUGGGGAGAUAUUUUGCAGAAAAGGAGAAAGUCUUCCCUGAGAUGGAUUCCAUACUUAGGAAAUCUGUGAGAGGCCGGGGCGGAGGCUUUCCUCCCAGGUAAGUGUAGGUGACUCCGUAAACGCCUAUCCUUGGUGAGCUCGUGGUUACUGUUUCUUUUCUCCCCAAAACUGUGUCCCAACUUCCAGAAAAUAGACACACUGAUCCUUAAAUCAUCCCUCUUUGUUUCCCUUGUUCUCUGAGACAAGAGUGAUAACAGUGGACAUUGUGGGAAGCAAAGUGUUAAAGACUGGCUUUUCUGGGGAAGGGAGAGCAAGUCCUGGACUGAAUGAUCAGAGGUUUCUUCAGAAGCCUGUGGGGUCACUGUGGGACUUUGAACCUCAGAUGGGAGUUCACCAGAGUAUAGCCAAGGAGGAUGGGUGAUCCGGGACUGCAGCUGAGGAGAGGUCAGAGGUUCAGGGAGGACGCAUGACACACUCUGGGGGCAGCAGCAGCGGCCGGGAGCCUGUGAGAUCAGACACCAGCUCUUCUCCCCGCAGCUACUUUGCUUAUAUCCCCUUGCUCAUUACCCCCUAGGACCUGCAGUCCCCAGUUUACUAGUGAGACAAGGGACACUAAGCAUAGUUAACCCAAGUUCAUCCAGCUGGAGGCCGUAGAGCUACGAUCUUAUUCCACAGAACCUGGGCUCCCAGGUCCUUGUGCUGUUUUAUCCCAUGCCACAUGCCUACUUGGCCUGGGUGCCCAUUUUAUGUCCUUUUUAAAAAGCCUGAGGAUUUCUGGUGAGUUUCUGAACCUCAGGAUUCUCGUCUGUAAAACGGGGAUAAUAUUUAUCACCUUCUCCACAAACAUUCUGUUCUUUAAAAAAAAAAUUCUGAAACUUUUACAAAGGGGACUUGGGGAGGCAGAUUAGAGGUACCCAUACCCGCCUGCUUCUCCGUGAGUUAGAACCAAAACAUCUGGAGAACUGAUGCCUAUGGAGCGGGUGACUGAGAGGAUGCAAGAGUUCAGCAGCAGCCAGAGACUUGGGGAAACGCAGAGGCUUUGGAUAGUGGGGUCUAUGUGGCACAGAGCACCCCAGCACUGCUCACCGCAGAGGACGACGUAGAGGUGAAAGAGGGGGAGACCCAGGAGCACCAGUCACACAGGAAUUCACACCUUGCAGAAAUACAGCCUGAGCAGACGUCCACCCGCCUGCGUGUAGGCAACUGGCUCUGGGGCGGUUCUCUGCACUUCCCCACUGUGUUCCAGGUGCUGUACCAGGGGCCAUCUCCCAAGGUCAGGCCGAGCCUCCUCCCCGGGAGUCAAAGGCCCUUGCAUGUUCCUCUCUGGUCCCUGGAGCCGUAUUCCUGUGCUGAUCCGGGGAGGCUGCCUCGAGAGUCAGUGUGGUCCCGCGGCUUCCACCAACCUGCCAAGGGGACAGACAGCCACGCGGAAGGGAGUGGAGGUGCUCCCCCUUAAACCGGGGUUCCCAAGGCCAGCGGGAGGCACAGCUCAGAGUCCUGGGGGGUGGAGAGCCGGGCUGCGGCCACCCCAGCACAGACAGCGGCCUCUCCCCAGCCUCUCCUCACCCUGGGAGCGCAGCACAGGAAGUGCAGAAGGCACCUGUGCCAGGCACGUCCGCACCCCAUGACAGCUUGGUGACACGCUGCCUCAGUCGGCAACUGCCCGGCUGUGUCCGUGCGCAGCCCCGGAACCCAGAGUCGGGGUGUGCGGAUGCCACCUCCUCGCAGCUGAGAGGGUCCCUGCCGACUCCAGCACCAACCAGUCCUGUGGCCCCCGGGGGAAGCACCCCCAAGGAAAGAAGGGGUGACACGAGGCAGCUCUGAGGGGCCCCUCCUGCCGCACAGCAAGCGCCAAAGGGAGAGGGACUCUUCUAAUUAUUAGGGCUUCUUAUUGCUGGGUUUGGUUUGCAUAUACUUUUCUUAGUUUGCUUUCUAAUAUUUAUUAUAUUAUUUUUGCUUUUCAUCUUUUACCCUUCUUCUGCUUGUCCCCUUUUGUCCUUUAAUUUUCUUCUCUUUUUUAAAAUUAAUUUUUGCUUAAUUACCUUUUCUCUUUGUAGUUUUUUAUUCUAUAUUAUCUGUGCCCUUUUCUGUUGUGGAGGCUGCUGUUUUUAUUUGGUUUUUACUUUGUGUCCUUUCAUGGUUUGUUUUCUCGGUGGUUGUCUUGGUGGUUGUUUCCUUCUUUCUAAGCAGUAUUCGGGAUUGGGUCUGACACUUGGACUAGAUUUGGUGGCUCCUCUGCCACAAAGCCACACUCCCAGCCCAGCUCGGAGAAAUUGCACCUUACUCCAUCUGAAAACUAACCCACCCACGCAAUCUACUGGACCCACAUAGGAAGGACUUGGAAGUCCUGCUCCUGGGCAUCAACACCCAUAGCAAAGUGGCUGUGGACACCAGGUGUAAGAGGGACCUCAGCACAGGGGACUUCAUACCCUAUCAGAGCCACAGGUUGCUGACUAGAUGGGAGGAGAACUCACAGAGGGGACAACUCAUAUGCUCUGCUGUCUACACCACACCUGUUUGAACUACCAGAGAGGACCCCUCCACCAGGGACCCCCCCCCCACCCAACACCAUCUUGAGAGACCUAUAGAGAAACCAGGGCCCUCAGCUCCAACACAGUGUUCAUUGUGCCAAAUCCCACCCAUCGCAGUCAAAGAAGCCACAGGGAGAGUAGACUGUGAGGUUGGAUUGGAAUUAAACCCAAUACUACCCAGCCAACCAAUGUCCCAGGGCACACCAUUGGGAGGAGGAGGCAGCUAAGUAAGAAGGCCUUCACACAGAAGUGGAGGAGAAAUCUGUCACAACUGAUGCCCAGACGCAGUGUGGAAUCACGGGGACUAUGGCAAAACAGGCGCACAGCCCCCGUGAGACGUUCCUAAUGCUCUAGUCACUAACUCCAAAGGAUCAAAGUGGAUGGAAUGAACGCUGGGCAAAGACUUCUAAAGAAUGAGUUAAAAAACCUCAGUGAGUUCCAAGAGCGUACAGGUAAACGUCUGCACCAAGGAAGGGAGACAUUGCACGUCCAGAUGAGCAGCAGGUCCAUAAAGAGACAGAGAUCUUGAAAAAGAAUCACACAGAAAUCCUGGGAGUGAAAAGCUCAGUAAGUCAGAUGAAAACUUGGGCAGAAGAAAGAGAAUUGGGGAAAACAAAAAAGGCAAGUGAAUCAGGGAUUGAAGAGUAGACUGAGGAAUUAUCGUAUUGAGAGGGUAGUAAAGGAAGAGGAAAGAAAAUGAACAGAAUGCACCAGAUCUCUGGGGCCCUCUAGAAGACCAAACAUACACAUAAUUGGAAUAGAUGAGGGAGAGCAGCUACAUCCAGAGGAUGCAGAAUACACAUUAUUUUCAUUAGCACAUGAAACUUUUUCCAAAAUAGAUCAUGUAGUAGAUGACGGAGCAAGUAUCAACAAAUCUAAAAAAAGUUGACAUUGCGUUUUUGCAUCUUAUCAGAUCAUAGUAGAAUGAAAUUGGACACCAACAGCAAGAGGAAUUGUACAAGUUAUACAAACACAUGGAUAUUGAAUAAUACAGACUUUUGAACAGUCAGUCAGUCAUUGAAGAUAUGAGAGGGAAAUUUAAAAGUUUCUCAAAUUAAAUGAAAAUAGAAACACAACAUACCAGAAACUAUGUGAUACAGUGAAAGCAAUACUAAAAAGAAAACUUACGGUUAUGAGUGCCUACAUUUAAAAAAUGGAUCUCAACUUGCUUUUCAUCUUUCGCAGUCAAAGAAGCCACAGGGAGAGUGCGCUCUCAGUGUGUCUCAAGGUCUUAGAAAAACAUGGACAAAGCAAAUCCAAAAUCAGUAGAAAGAAAGAAAGAAAGAAUAAAGAUCAGGAUAGAAAUAAAUGAAAUAAAGGUGAAAAGAAUAAUACAAAUGAUCAAUGAAACAAAAGGUUGGUUCUUUGAAAAGAUAAAAAUGACAAACCCUUAGCUAAACUAACCAAAAGAAAGCAAAAAGCAGAAAACUUGGAAUGAAAUCACCAUUUGACCCAGUUAUUCCACUCCUCGGCAUAUACUCAAAGGACUUAAAAUCAGCAUGCUGCAGUGCCAUAACCACAUCAAUAUUUAUGGCAGCUGAAUCCACAGGAGCAAAGCUAUGGAGCCACCCUAGUUUCCCUUUAACAGAUGAAUGGAUAAAGAAAAUGUGGUAUAUAUACAUAAUGGAGUAUUACUCAGCCAUAAAAAAGAAUGAAAUUAUGGCAUUUGCUGGUAAAUGGAUGGAACUGGAGACUAUCAUGCUAAGUGAAAUAAAGCAGUCCAAAAAAACCAAAUGCCAAAUAUUCUCUCUAUACAGUUGCUAACAGAAUAACUGUGGGGGAGGGAAGAAUAGACGUUCACUGGAUUGGGCAAAGAGGAAUGAAGGGAAGGGAAGGAGUAUGAAUGAACCAAACAGAUCUUUCCUAUGUUCAUAUAUGAAUACACAAACAGUGUGACUCCACAACAUGUUCAAUCCCAAAUACUCCAUGUAGGUAUAAUACAUCAAAUACAUUCUACUGUUAUGUAUAACUAAAAAGGGCAAAUAAAAAUAUUUUUUUUUUAAAAAAGAGGAGCAAGGCAUCCCAAGUAAUUAAAAUGAGAACUGAAAAGGGGGAUAUUACAACAGAUACCUCUGAAAUUCAUAGAUAGGAUCACCAUGGAAUAUUUUGAAAAAAAAAUGUAUGACAAUUAACUUAAAAAUCUAGAAGAAAUGGAAAAUGUCUGGACACAUAUGACGUACCAAAAUUGAAACUAGAGGAUACUCUUAUCAGAUUUUGGUACUAGGAUGAUAGAUAAGAAUCUGAUAAGAGAGAGAAAGAGAGAGAGAAAUAAGUAUAAAAAUCUUCAGUGAAAUACAUGCAAGUUGAAUUCAGCAGCUUAUUAAGAAUAUCAUACACCAUGAUCAACUUGGUUUUAUUUCAGGAAUGCAAGGGUGGUGCAAUGCAUACAAAUUGAUGAAUAUAUUAUGGAACAUUAAUAGAAUCAAGGAUAAAAAUUGCAUUAUCAUCUCAGUAGAUGCAGAAAAAGACUGAUACAAUUCAAUAUAUCUUCAUGAUAAAAUUCCAGAAUAAAUUAGGUAUAGAAGGAUCAUACAUUAAUAUAAUGAAGAUGGUAUGUGACAAACUGACAGCCAGCAUUUUACUGAGUUGGGAAAACCUGAAAACAUUUUCUCUAGGAUCAGCAAUAAGACAAGGGUGUACGGUCUUGCCAUUUUUAUUCAAAAUAGUAUUUGAAAUUUUAGCCAAAGUAAUUACGCAAGAGAAAGAUAUAAAAGGAACACAAAUAGGAAAGGAAGAAGUCAAAUUAUCCCUUCAUGGCGUAUUCCUUCUCUAGCUUCUGCAUGUAAGAGAAAACCCCUGUCCCGCCUUCUGAGUUUGACUUACGUCAUUUAAUAUAAUGGUUUCUAGGUCCAUCCAUUUUCCUGCAAAUGACACAUUUUUUUUUGAAUGGCUGAAUAAAAUUCUACUGUGUUCAUAUACCAUAUAUUCUUUUUCUAUUUAUCCAUUGAGCUGCACCUAGGCUGGUUCCAUAGUUUGGCUAUUGUGAAUUGUGCUGCUGUAAACAUGGGUCUGCAUGUGUCACUGUAGUAAGACGUCUUUAAUUCUUCAGGAUAAAUACCAAGAAGUGGUAUAGCUGGGUCGUAUGAUGGUUCCAUGUUUGGUCUUUUGAGGUUCCUGAUUUCCACAGUGGUUGUACUAAUUGACAAUCCCACCAGCAGUGUAAUAAUCUUACUUUUCAUUCACAUCCUCGCCAGCACUUAUUAUUAUUUGUAUUCUUAAUAACUGCCCUUUUGACUAGUGUGAGAUAAAAACUCAGUGUAGUUGUGAUUUUCAUUUCCCUAAUUGUUAGUGAUGUUGAACAUUUUUUUAUGUAUUUGUUUUUCUUAUUUCUGGAAAUGUUUGUUUAAUUCAUUUGUCCAUUUACUUAUUGGGUUAUUUGAUUUUUUGGUAUAAAGUUUUUGAGUCCUUUAUAUAUUAUGGAUAUGAAUCCUGUAUCAGAAGAGCAGCCAGCAAAGACUUUCUCCAAGUCUGUAGUUUCUCUCAUCUCAUUCUUAACUGUUUCCUUCACUGUGCAGAGUGUUUUUUUUUUUUUUAAAUUCAAUGCAAUUCCAUCUAUUAACUCUUGGCAUUAUUUCAGGAGCUUUAGGGAUCUUAUUAAAGACGUCAUUGCCUGGGCAUGUAUGCUGGGGUGUUGACCCUAUGUUUUCUUCUAGGAGUUGCAUAAUUUCUGGUCCAAUUCCUAGGUCUUUGAUCCACUUUGAGUUGAUUUUUGUGUAGGUGAGAGUUGAAAAUCUAGUUCAUUCUUCCACAGAGGGAUAACCAGUUUUGCCUGCGCCACUUGUUUAAAAGGCUAUCUUUUCUCCAAUGUAUGUUUUUGACACUUUUGUCAAAGGUCAGAUGACUAUAGAUGGUAGGUUUGUCUCUGUGUCUGCUAUUCUGUACUAUUGGUCCCUAAAAAGCUCACACACACACACACACACACAAAACCCUCUUAGAAGUAAUAAACAAAUUCAGCAAAGUAGCAGGAUGCGAAAAUCAACAUGCAAAAUUUGUGGAUUUUCUGUUCACUAAUAAUGAUGGAUUAGGUGAAUGAAUAUUGUCAAAAUUACCAAAAACAAUCUGCAGAUUCAGUGCAAUCCCCACCAAAACACCAAUGACAUUCUUUACAAAACUAGAAAACAAAUUUCUGAAAUUCAUGUGGAAAGCUCAAAAGAACUUGAAUAACCAAAGUAAUGCUGAAAGCAUCACAACCCCUGAUUUGAAAAUAGACUACAGAAUCAUAGUAACAAAAACAGCAUGGCCCUGGUAUAAAAGCAGACAUGUAGACCAAUGGAAUAGAGUAGAGAACCCAUAUAUCACUCACAGCUAACUGACUCUUAACAAAGGUGCCCAAAACAUACAUUGGAGAAAAGACAACCUCGUCAACAAUUGGUGCUAUAUAAUUAGAUAUCUCCCUAUAGAAGACUGAAACUACACACUGUGUCUUGCUGUUCACAAGAAUCAAGUCAAAACAGAUUAAAGACCUCAAUGUAAGCCCAGAUCUUUGAAACUUCUAGAAGAAAACACAGGGAAACACUUCAAGGUGAUUGAAAGAAGGGACGGAUCCCUCCCUAGGACUCCAGUAGCUUAGGGAAUACAGGCAAGAUUGACACAGGGGACUACAUCAAAUUAAAAAGCUGCACAGCAAAGAAACAAUCCAGAGUGAAGAGAUAGCCCGCAGAAUGGGAAAAAGUCCUCGCCAGCUCUUCAUGUGCCAGAGGACUAAUACCCAGGGAGAUAGAAAGAACUCAAGAAAGUCUCCAACAAAGAGCAGGUGCUCCAACAGGAAAGCAGGCAAAUGAUCGGGACAGAAACUUCUCAAAAGAAGAAGUGACCAUAAGUCUAUGAGAAAAUGUCCGAAUUCUUUAGCCUUCAGGGAAAUGCAAAGCAAAACUACAUUGAGAUUCCAUCUCACCCCAGUCACAAUGACUAUUACCAAAGAAACAAACAAACAAACAAAAAUGCAUAUACUGAUGAUACCGAUGAGGAUUCCCACACUGUUGGUGGGAAUAUAAAUUAGUACAGCCACUACGGAAAACAGUAUGGAAAAAAAACCAACGAGAAUACAAUUAACAUAGGAUCUAGCUAUUGUACCCCUGGAUAUUUACCUGAAGGAAAUGCAGAAGGAUACAAGGAAAUCUCUGCAUUCCCAAGUUUACUGUGGCACUGUUCACAAUAGCCAAGAUAUGGAACCAACCUAGGUGCCCACUGACAGAUAUGACAGAAAAUCAUAUCUAUAUAUCGCAAUUAUAUAUAUAGUGCAUAUGCACAUUAUAUCUAUCACAUACUUUCUCUCAUGUGUGGAAACAAAAUAAAACAACCAAAAAACAAACCUGAAAGUGGGAGAGGAUCUAGUAGGGAAGGGGAAAGUAAUGGGGUUGGGGGAAACAUGAUCCCACUGUGAUAUAUGCGUGCAUGAAAAUGUCACAGUGAAACACAUUAAUUUGUACAAUUGAAAUGUGUUGAUAAUUAUAAUAAAAAAAUCUCCCAUGCAUACACAGUAAUUGUGCAUUUUUAGGUGGUCUUUCAGGACCUGCGCACAAUGUUCAGUUUUGUAGGAUCAGGCUGACGGGUUUAUCCAUCACUCAAACCUGUCAUUCCUUCCUUCUGGGAACACUGAAAAUCCUCUCCACUGGCUGUUUGGAAAUAUGCAAUUAAUUUUUGACAACUGUGGCCUCACCUCUGUGGCCAGAGAACAGUAGAAGUCCUUCCUCUUAUCCACCCACCCACUGACUUUCUCUUGAUGAUUUAACAGAUGCUCAAGAAGCUCGGAGCACACGUGCUGGACACCUCGGUGCUCAGCAAAUAUUAACUGAGAGGAUCCUUUGCCCAGGAGGGCAGGGCGGAGCCUGGGGUCCCUGGGGCUCCAUCACCCCUGUUUACUCCUCCGACUUCCCCUUCCCGCAGGCAUUCACCAGCUUGUUUUUCUGGUGCGGAGGAUGCCCUGGGCCAAGCCCAGCAUCGCCUCAGCAGCCUGCUGCACCCCUGCCCGGGGACCAGGAGGACAGUGACUCCAGCCGACUUUCUCACUCUGGAAACUCAUGACCUUUAUUCAGAAUCGUCUUGCGGUCCCUGCGUCACACAGCCACCUCAUUCCCCACUCCUCCCUGCCCCGCCCCAUGCCCUUUAUUUUCUUCUCGUCUGGGGAGAUUAAUAGACUAGAGCUGCAUCCCACACACAGGGACAGGGCUACCUUAGAGAGGAGCUUUUCCUGCAUUCGUCUCCUGCGUUUAUUUGGAAUUGGGCGUCUCCUCUGUGCAUUUGUCUUGCUUUGGGGAUUGGAACUCGGACGGGACCGCAAAAAGGUGCCCAUGACCACAGAUUAGCUCUAGCUGAGGGGGUGCAGCCUGGGCUGGAGUGGAAGGUCUGGAUUCUGCUUUGAGAGAUGGUACAGGGUGGUGGGAAGAACUGAGGCUUGAGAUCCAAGCUGGCACCUUAGCUCUGCCCUCGUGAGAUCUGGGGUGUCCCCUCCCUGCACCUCUUUUCUUCACCUGAAAAGUACAGUGGUGUCCUGAGGAGCCGAGCUGGCAGGGUCCCCACUAACAUUCUUGGGGAGAGCAGGGUCCUGUCUUUUUCAGCACUGAAGCCCCAGAACCUAGAACACUCCUUGGCCUGCCUGAGCACUCAGCAAACACCUCUCUUGGAAUGGAGAUUAAAGCCUGUGGGGCUCCUGGCAUGAGGGAGAUGGAACAGCAGUCAUAUUACCAUGUCUGUUCUAAAUCAGGAACUCACAAACUCUGUAUGGCCCCCCACCUGGUGUUGUAAAUAAAGUUUUAUUGGAACGUAGCGCUGCCCAUUCCUUUACACAUCGUCUGUGGUUGCCUUCCUCUUGCAGUGGUGGAAUAAAAUAGUUGAAGAGAGAUGUGCGGCCCCUUUGGCUUAAAAUCUAUACUGUUGGGCCAUUUGCAGCAAAACUUAAGGACUCCGGCUCUGAAUGUCAAGGUUUUCCUGUGUAAGGAUAAUCAUGGAUUUCAUUUUCCCAGGUAGUAUCAGGCAUUACCAAGUCGGAAAUCUGCGGUGAGCCCCAGUUGUGUAUUUUCGAUAUCGUCUCUAAGAUAUUUAGGGUUAGCUUUAACUGACUGCGCGGUGGCCUGGCUGUCAUGUGGAUGGAGGUGUUACUUUCGUUUCUGUGUAAAAAGAAACUUAACUCACCUGUCCAUUCCUGACAUAUUCACUAGGGACAGACCGCAUGUCCUGCAAGAAGUCCAGGGCCAGAGACGCACACAGGAGGUGGCCCACCAGGUACAGCCUGCUUUACAGCCUCAAAUAAAGGCUACUGACGAGGUGCAGGAGGGCAUCCACUGGAUGAGCUCGGGAUACAGGUUUCCCACUCCCUCCUCCAUCAUAAUAAACCACGCCAUCUCGGACACCUCAGCCUCACUGGGCUUGAUCUCCAGUCUGUGAGAUGGUAACCAUGACAUCUCCCACGCUGGUUUCUCAUGAAGCUUAAGUAAGAUGAUGUAUCAGGUGUCCAAAACUUAGUAUCCACUCGGCAAUCUUAUGAUAAAUGGUCUUUAUUUAUAGCUUGGCUGAGAGAUAUCCAAAGAUCUUUGCUCCGUGUUGUCACUCUCUCUGAUGAUCGGCAGCCACAGGUGAGAGCCUCUCAGGUCCUUGGAUUCUGGGCUGGUGAAGGAGACCUUCCUGGAAUGGACAUCUUGAGUCAAGUACCCUGAGGUCUGUACCUGAGGGCUUCCCUGUCCCCCGUCCAGCUGAGCAGUGCAAUGGGCUCUGUCCUGCGGCCACGUCACAGUCUGCAGAUCUUUUUUCUUUCUUUUCCAGCAGGACAGAACAACAGGCUCUCAGAAUCCUACAACACAACAGAGGAGCAUUUCAGAGACCACCGAAGGCUGGCGAGUUCCCCGAGGCUAGUGGGUCCCCAAACAGGAGCAGGAGCCCAGCUGGGGGCUGGCAGGGGCUUGGCGUGCCCACCAGGACUUCCACAUGUAGCACCUGGUUUCUUGGCUUAGUUGAUGGCUUUGAACUGUGCCCGGAGCAUGGUGAAUGCUUUGUCAAUGUUUCUGGAGAGGAUGGAUGGUGGGUUCCCCGUGGUGAGCAUGCUCCCUGCCCCUCAGCCACUCCAGCCCCAUGUCCAGUGGUACUAGCAGGUGGGCUGGCCAUAGAGCAGGAGUUCCUAGCAGGCCCUGCCUGAGUUUAUCCAGGACCCAGGCUCCCUGAGUUUCCUUUGGGGUCGCCUGUCUUGCUCCUUUUUGUGCAUACACUAUACCCCUAUGCCAGGGUUCUUCCCCCUGGAAGAACCUUAGACCAGCCCUGCCGCCCCCCAACUGCUGUUGCCCCAGCCAGGACUGGAUUCUGGUAUGUGGCCUUGGGUCUGGGUGGGGGCAUACACAGGAAACUCAUCCAAAGCCUCUGUUCCCUGUCACACCCAAGAGCUGACUGAGACCCCUUCCAUCCCUAGGAAAAGCCCUGGGUUUGGGGAUCACAGAGAACAAUGCCAGACCAGGGGCAAUGCUUGACCUCAGGGCUGGACAGGUGGACGGUGCCUCUGUGAUCAGCAGAGGUGGUGAGAAUGGAAAGGCAGUGGCCAGGGGACAGCAGGUUUUUUAGAUCACCCUCGUGCCCUCCCCACUGGGUGGUCAGGAUGGCGGCUAAGCCUGCCUUCUGGUGGUGGCCCCUCCACCCCGGGGUGGAUCACUGCACUCAGAGGAAGACAGAGAGGCUGUGUGACCUGGAGCAAGUUGCUUCACACUCCGUGCUGACUCACUUUCCUCUCUUUUUAAGAAGGAGUGUGGGGAUGGCUGCCUGGCAGGAUCUUCUGUUUGAGAUAAUGUGGCUCCUGGCACAUAGCAGGUGCUCAGUAGGAAAAUGCCUUGUGCCUUCACUCCUCCCAGGUGCAGCCUUCCCUGCAGAGCAAGCUGGCAGCCUCCAACUGAGCCUGUCCUUGGGACUGUGUUCCUCCUGCCUCCAGGACCCCAGGCCCCCGGGAGGGCACUGGCGCCCUGGCCUGUUUCUGCUCUGAAUGAAGUGGCAUCAUUGCUUGCUAGCAUUUGUGAGGGUUAUUGUCUGAAAGCUACCUUUGCCCUUUGCCCCUCCUGUGAGGGCGCCAUGACCCUUCUACAGAUGGCUCCUGCCCUGCGAUGAGGUGACUCACCCAGCGUCAUCCAGCUGGCCACUCACCUGGACCCUCUCUGGUCACUGCACAUGGUAACACCAGUUCAUGCACUCGUGCCUCCUCAGGUGACACAGAACUGUGUGCUCUUCCUUCUGAGGAGGGACACUUCCAGAGGCACUUCAAGGCAGCCAGGAGGGGUGUCCCAAGGGCCCAAGGCAACAUGUGGCACCUUCUAACUCCAAGAGGCCUGCCCAGGGUCACAGUGGGCAAAUGGCAACAGAAUGUCCCACGUGAACCUCCUAGUCCACUCCUGUCUGCUCUGGAAGCUGUCCCUGUCCCCUGGGCUGUCCCUUCACAGGGUCACUGUUCCUCUGGCAGCUGACCAAGGGCUUAUCAUAUGCAUAAAUAAAGUGACAGUUACUUCAGUUACUUUCUUCCUUACUACAAAAGUGUUGUAGAGUCACUAAAGAAAAUUAAAGUAAAUAAAAAUAACCAAAUUAAUCUCCAAUAAAAUAGAACCAACUUGCAUUUUAACAUAUAAUUUCCUAGUACAUUUUCUCUGUGUGUGUGUGUGUGUGUGUGUACAUAUAUAUGGAGAUUUUAUUUUAGAGGCUAUUUCCCAACUUGCUC